CCAAUAGCGUAUAUUAAAGUUGUUGUGGUUAAAAAGCUCGUAGUUGAACCUUGGGCCUGGCUGGCCGGUCCGCCUCACCGCGUGUACUGGUCCGGCCGGGCCUUUCCCUCUGUGGAACCUCAUGCCCUUCACUGGGUGUGACGGGGAAGCAGGACUUUUACUGUGAAAAAAUUAGAGUGCUCCAAGCAGGCCUAUGCUCGAAUACAUUAGCAUGGAAUAAUAAAAUAGGACGUGCGGUUCUAUUUUGUUGGUUUCUAGGACCGCCGUAAUGAUUAAUAGGGACGGUCGGGGGCAUCAGUAUUCAAUUGUCAGAGGUGAAAUUCUUGGAUUUAUUAAAGACUAACUUCUGCGAAAGCAUUUGCCAAGGAUGUUUUCAUUAAUCAAGAACGAAAGUUAGGGGAUCGAAGACGAUCAGAUACCGUCGUAGUCUUAACCAUAAACUAUGCCGACUAGGGAUCGGAUGAUGUUAAUUUUUUAAUGACUCAUUCGGCGCCUUACG
RNAcentral lists this unclassified non-coding RNA (499 nucleotides) under uncultured Paraglomus. Its description in RNAcentral is "SSU rRNA". It matches the Rfam family "Eukaryotic small subunit ribosomal RNA", at positions 591 to 1092 of the family's 1831-position model. Lineage: Eukaryota; Fungi; Glomeromycota; Glomeromycetes; Paraglomerales; Paraglomeraceae. The record is from RNAcentral.